GUUGACAUAAGAACCAUAGUUCCAUAAUAAUUAUCUUCAAAUCAAUGGAUAUCUUAAAUGUGUUUUUUUCUUCCUUAGAGAUUAUUAUUAAACUGAUGUAUUUGAUAAUAAAGAAUUUUAGGACUGAGAAAGUUAAGUUUUUCUUACCAAUAAUAAGAUAUUGAAAUAUAUAAAUUAUAAAACAGAAAUAAAAUGAAAUAAAGGAGGUUAUCCCUAAAGUCAUUUACCUUAGUCACUUGCAAUUAAAUAUGGUUACUUCGGAAGAAGAAGUGUGGCCCUAAAGCUACUGUAACAUGAAUCAUGCCCUAAUGUGCACUAUAUAUGAACUACUUUGGUCAGAAGGCAGCGGCGGGUAAGGAUGGCUUCCUCUCACAGUGCUUCUUAGGCUAUCCAUUUACCAAGGAAUUCUAAUCUCUUUCUCUCACUUCACCAGGAAAGGAGGGAGUUUAAGAUAUAGAACUGGGCAUGCUAGCCUCUUUUUUCCCUUUUGUGGAUUUGUCAUAACUGCAGAGAACCGAUGUUGUGGUCUCUUGCCAGCUACAUUGUGAACCUUGCAGUGAAAGUUCUUUGCCUCUGCAAAGGGAGAUUUGUGCUUGUGCAGAACUGCCCAUGCCUUAGUAAGCAGGUCUGUCUAAUUCUAAGUUCAAUAUCUGGUGGCUAUUGUUGGCAUAAACUUAAAGUACAUCCUCUAACCUAGCCUUUUUCAGCAGUAAACUUAAAAUAUUGAAUCUCCAUCUGUCUGUGUCUCAAGUGGUUCAGAGGUCAGGAGAGGAGAGGGACAUUAUUUUAUGACUCCCUCAAACUUUAACAAAGACUAGUGCAGAUUAUAUUUCGAAGUAAGCAUGAGAUAUAUUAAAAACCACAUGUGGGAAUUCUUUCCUAAUUUUAGAGGUUUUUUUUAAAUAAUGGAAAUUCUAUUGAAAUUGAGUAGUGUUAAUUACAAGGCAACAGGUAAACAUUUGUUCAGGAUAUUUAAAAGGUCUGCUGAGUUGGAAUUGUGACAGACCACAUUGUUGACUCUAGAUUGAAUUGGAAGGGAAGAAUGUGAAAUGAAUUAGGAUAUCCUCUGUUCACCUCUAUUAACUUUCUUAAAUGAGUAUAACUUAGAAAUAAUAAAAUGCAAGUAUUUUAACGUUAUAGUUGGGAGAGUUUUGACAAAUGUAAACACCCACUUCACCACCACUACCAUCCUGAUAUAGUGUGUGUCCAUCACCCAAAAAGUUCUCUAAAGCCCUUUUGCAGUUGGUUCCCCUCCACCUGAACAGCCAUCCCUAGUCAACUACUUUUCUGCUUUCUGUGGCUAUACGUUAGAUUUGACUUCAGAAUUCUAGAGUUUGAAAUAAAUAGGCCAUAUAAUAUGCACUCUUUUUGUGUCUGACUUUUUUUUUGCUUAACAUGAUGCUUUUGAAACCCAUCCAUGUUGAGAUUCAUCCAUGUUAUCAUGUGUAUCAAUAAUAAGUUCCUUUUUAUUGCUGAAUAGUAUUCUAGUAUAUAGAUAUACCACAAUUUGUUUAGCUGUUCACCUAUUGAUGGACAUUUAGGUUGUUUCAAGUUUUGAUCUAUUAUGAAUAAAGCUGC
This 1578-nucleotide long non-coding RNA is filed under the name Homo sapiens (human). Its description in RNAcentral is "non-protein coding lnc-PRKAA1-3:1". Lineage: Eukaryota; Metazoa; Chordata; Mammalia; Primates; Hominidae. The record is from RNAcentral.